AAGUCUAUAUAGAAAUUGAACCCUAGCCUCAGCUCAGUCCCGUCAGCACCGGCCAGCCAACCUGAAAACAUUUGAAAGUAUUUUUGGGCUAAGUACUAAUGUACUCAGUGGGCAUGCAUUUUCAUAAACAUUUCAUAUUUUCUUAAAGACAGUUUAUCCAAUCAUACUUGACAUAACUUAGAAGGUUUUAAAUUGAAAGAACUUCUAAGCAUGUUAAAAUAAUUUCUUUCAUUUGUGCGCACAUGUCACACUCCCUUUCUGUUACUCGCUGUGAUCCCGGACCUUUUAGCCACCGACGGAUCCAUUUCUCCCAUUGCACUUGCCCUGAGGACGUAACUCAGACAAGUUGAAUUGACCUCGGGACGCUACCCAGGCAGGCCCUUACAUUACAUGCUUCGGAACACAUCCAGCAAGCACCCUUAUAACGCCUCUUAGUUAGUGCCCGAUGGAGAUCAACCCACCGAGUCAGCUAACGGUGUACACAAUUCUCAAAUAACGUGUUAGGCCAUAAGAGAACCUCGAUCGAUCCAUGAAUUGUAAGCCUUAAACAGAGUAGAGUGCACAUAAACAUUUUAUUGGAUAAACAGUUUGCAUUUCAUUAAAUAAACAAUUUGCAUUUCAUUGAAACAUUUAGAGCUUAAUAACUCAAUCAUACUUUAUACAUUUGGAAAGUAAGCCCACCUGGAUAGGCAAAGCCUGAAGAUCAUAAUCACAUAAACUCGUCUUGGGAAAGCAGCGCUAAUCCCCUUGGUUCAUAAAGCCUACAAGAAAUUCUAUUCUUAAUAGGUCUCCUUAAUCUUAUCUUAAGUCAUAGUGGAAGUGCUAGACAUUCUUUGAUUCAUCACGCCGAGUUCUCAAAAUUUAAUAAUAAAGAUUGAAAACUAACUUUUGAGCUAAGGACACCAACAAUAUCCUUACUCAAUUUUCUUUAAUAAUUGGAUUUAUAAAUAAACCAAUUAAAUCAUAAAUACUUUUAUUGCAUGAUGCAAAUGCAAUGUCAUGUCAUGCUUAGCAUAUAAGUAAUUACUUAAAAUAUGCACUUCAUAAUAAUAAUAUUAUUAUGCAAAUCAUCUUUAAAAUAAUUAAUCAAAUUAAUUAUAGUCAAAUUAAUAAAUUAAUUAGACUUAGGUAAAUAAUUAAAUAAGUCCAAUACCUUGAAUUAAAAGUCAAGCCCAAAUUAAUAAGAGCAACUCAUACGUUGAUUUAAAAUAAUUUACAGCCCAAACAUUUGCAUCCAAGUUUUAAAUAAAACAAAGAGGCCCAUCUAAAAUAAAUUUGCAGCCCAUCAUUGGACUCAAAAUAAUUAGGGCAAAGCCCAAACCUUUUCUUCUCUUUAAAAAAAUACCCACACACACAAAACACAUGAACACACACACAAACACACGCACACACUCACACACUCAGCGCCGCAGCACCCCUCCCCCCAUUCUUUAUUCUCCGGCGGCGGUAGCGUCGCCGGCACCGCGUGCCCGGUCGUCGCCGCCCUCUCGCCCCUCGACCUCUCCCCUGUCUCUCUCCAGCUCCGACGAAAUGUCAGCGACAGCCACCACUCCACCUCACACCUCUCACUGCUCUGCCCUUCUUCCUUUUUUUCUUCAACGGCGAGGAGCGUCGCCGUUCCCACUGCUCUGGCGACGACACAGCCGUAGGCCGCGCCUCCGCCCUGCAAAAACCUUAGCUUCUCUAAAGCACUGACAGCCCUCCUCUCCUUCUCUCGAUUUUGGCAAGCGAAGUGGCCGGUGAGGCCAACCACGGCACACCCAGCACCAUCUUUCUCUCAAUGGCUCAACGGCAGUCACCGCCGCUCGGAUUUCAGACGAUAGUGCCGCCCCUGUCUCCCUCUCUCUCUCACCGUCCUCGGCCCGGCAGCAGCGGCAGAGCCGCCGUGCCGUGCCUCUCUCUGUCUCGCAGCCCUCUCUCUCACCUCUACACAUUCCGGCCGACAGUGGCGCCGAGCCACCGCCUUCUCCAGCCCGACUCUACUCUGGUGACAGCAGCGGAAGCUACCACUACCGGUCUCCCUCCAUUCUUCCCUCUGAGGGGACAACUCACAGCCAAACCACCUUCCAGCUCAAGUCACACAAACACAGGAGCCCCAACAUAAAGGAAAAAUUAUGCUUCAAGACUCUACUUUUUAUUUCACUAAUUCAUGCUUUUCAUAUAUGUAUGCAAACAUUGGUAUAUGCGAAUAUAAAUAUACAUUGUAUCCGAGUAAAGUAUGAGGCAUAAUUGAAAGAUUGAAGUGAGGUGGAACCUUGAGUGAGUUUGAAUGUGGCUGAUAGUUGGAUUUGAUUUUCUGUUGUAUGGUUGAAUCUCAGUGGGCGGCAGUUCUUGCAUUUGAGUUUCCUUUUUGAGAAAAUUAUAUGUGUGAAAUGGAAGAACUUUUCUUGUCAAAGUA
RNAcentral lists this long non-coding RNA (2398 nucleotides) under Salvia miltiorrhiza (redroot sage). Its description in RNAcentral is "long non-coding RNA (SMIL_LNC006212)". The record is from RNAcentral. Lineage: Eukaryota; Viridiplantae; Streptophyta; Magnoliopsida; Lamiales; Lamiaceae.